Non-coding RNA from Meloidogyne enterolobii, 72 nucleotides. The record is from the annotation of a GenBank genome assembly. Lineage: Eukaryota; Metazoa; Nematoda; Chromadorea; Rhabditida; Meloidogynidae.
AACGGCGUGGAGUAACGGAUAACACAUCAGCCCGGUCAACUGAAGAUGCUGGUUCGCUCCCAGCCGCCGAAU